This 146-nucleotide unclassified non-coding RNA is filed under the name soil metagenome. Its description in RNAcentral is "partial internal transcribed spacer 1". The record is from RNAcentral.
UAAUAAGUGUUUUAUGGCACUUUUUAAAUCCAUAUCCACCUUGUGUGCAAUGUCAGUCGAUCUUCUUUAUUGGAGAUCGACCAAACAUCAACCUUUAUUUUUUAACUCUUUGUCUGAAAAAUAUUAUGAAUAAACAAUUCAAAAUA